GACGAACGCUGGCGGCGUGCUUAACACAUGCAAGUCGAACGAAGAGCGAUGGAAGCUUGCUUCUAUCAAUCUUAGUGGCGAACGGGUGAGUAACGCGUAAUCAACCUGCCCUUCAGAGGGGGACAACAGUUGGAAACGACUGCUAAUACCGCAUACGAUCUGACCUCGGCAUCGAGGAUAGAUGAAAGGUGGCCUCUACAUGUAAGCUAUCACUGAAGGAGGGGAGUGCGUCUGAUUAGCUAGUUGGAGGGGUAACGGCCCACCAAGGCGAUGAUCAGUAGCCGGUCUGAGAGGAUGAACGGCCACAUUGGGACUGAGACACGGCCCAGACUCCUACGGGAGGCAGCAGUGGGGAAUCUUCCGCAAUGGACGAAAGUCUGACGGAGCAACGCCGCGUGAGUGAUGACGGCCUUCGGGUUGUAAAGCUCUGUUAAUCGGGACGAAAGGCCUUUUUGCGAAUAGUGAGAAGGAUUGACGGUACCGGAAUAGAAAGCCACGGCUAACUACGUG
Molecule: ribosomal RNA, 510 nt
Filed under: uncultured bacterium
Lineage: Bacteria
Description: partial 16S ribosomal RNA
Rfam family: Bacterial small subunit ribosomal RNA
Source: RNAcentral